This 206-nucleotide ribosomal RNA is filed under the name uncultured bacterium. RNAcentral's name for it is "partial 16S ribosomal RNA". It matches the Rfam family "Bacterial small subunit ribosomal RNA", at positions 568 to 774 of the family's 1533-position model. The record is from RNAcentral.
CGUGUAGGCGGUUUGGUAAGUCAGAUGUAAAAGGUCCGGCUUAACCGGGGAUGGUCAUUUGAAACUGCCAGGCUUGAGUUCGAGAGAGGGUAGCGGAAUUCCCAGUGUAGCGGUGAAAUGCGUAGAUAUUGGGAAGAACACCAGUAGCGAAGGCGGCUACCUGGCUCGCAACUGACGCUAAGGCGCGAAAGCGUGGGGAGCAAACA